RNAcentral lists this ribosomal RNA (786 nucleotides) under uncultured Ascomycota. Its description in RNAcentral is "bacterial SSU rRNA". It matches the Rfam family "Eukaryotic small subunit ribosomal RNA", at positions 46 to 857 of the family's 1831-position model. Lineage: Eukaryota; Fungi; Ascomycota. The record is from RNAcentral.
AAGCCAUGCAUGUCUAAGUAUAAACCAAUUAUGCGGUGCAACUGCGAAUGGCUCAUUAUAUCAGUUAUAAUUUACUUGGAUGGUUUCUUUACUACUUGGAUAACCGUGGUAAUUCUAGUAGCUAAUACAUGCGUUGAGCCCGACUCUCGUGGAAGGGCUGCAUUUAUUAGAUCAAAGCCGAUGCCCUUCGGGGCUCCUGGUGAUUCAUAAUAACUUUGCAGGAUCGCAUGGCCUCGUGCCGGCGACGCUUCAAUCAAAUUUCUGCCCUAUCAACUUUCGAUGGGUAGGAUAGGGGCCUACCAUGGUUUUAACGGGUAACGGGGUAAUUAGGGUUCGAUUCCGGAGAAGGCAGCCUGAGAAAUGGCUACCACUUCCGAAGGAAGGCAGCAGGCGCGCAAAUUGCCCAAUCCCGACAGGGGUAGUAGUGACAAGAAAUAACAAUGCAGGCUCUUUGAGUCUUGCAGUUGGAAUGAGUACAAUUUAAAUCCCUUAACGAGAACAUUGGAGGGCAAUUCUGGUGCCAGCAGCCGCGGUAUUCCAGCUCCAAUAGCGUAUAUAAAGUUGUUGCAGUUAAAAGCUCGUAGUCUACUCAUGACGAGGGGUGGUGGUCCACAUGAUGUGUGGUACUGCUUAUGCCGAGUCACACUUUUGGGGAUGUGUGAAUGGGAACCCCACUACACCGAACCAGUCUUAUUUGAAAAGAUAGAUGUUAAAGCAGCUUUGCUUGAAUACAUUAGCUGGAAUAACAUGAUAGGACUUUGGUUCUAUUUUGUUGUUUUCGGCAAA